AUGCGCCUUGAAGUCUAGCGGGAGAUCUAACUUGUACGCCAGCUUUCCCAUCCUCUUGACCACAUUAAAUGGCCCUUCAUACUUUCUGACCCGUGCUCGUUGUCGCCCACGGAAGACGCCUUUGUUCUUUAGCUUCCACACGGGAGUAGACAUCUUCAAUACUAAAUGCUUCUUUAGAAUUAAGAAUUUGACUCCUUACAUUUUCGAAUUCAUCGUUCAGUCCUGCUAAGAAUAGGAAUAUCAUAUUCUCCCAUUCUUCAGCCACAUAAUGCAUCUGGUCUUGGGGACUUUAAGAUUACAUAAAUAUCUGUGACCGAGAGAUCCCCUUGCCGAAGAGCAUACACAUCCUUCAUCAGUUGAUACACUCGAAUCUUCAUCUUCUUCUGGUCAUACAUUUGUUCCAAAAUAAUCCACAUAUCUCUCGCAGUCUUCUUACGAAGAAUGAGAGGUUGAAUAUCAGAAGAUACAGAUAGAGAAUUGACAAUCCAAGUUUUUAUUUGGUUGUCUUCAAGGAACCAAGUAUCCCAAGCCGCACUAGUCGCAACAGGUUCAACCUUUCUCCCAUUCAGAUAGGCAAUACGGCCUCGACCAGCAAUCGCCAUGGUGAUGGCAGCGGACCAUUGAAGGUAAUUUUUCUUGGUGAGCCGAAUGGUAGUAACAUGAACGGGGAAAGUCGAUGAAAAGCGUGAUCAGUAUUGACUGUAGAGGAAGAAGAAUCAGCCAUGGUCACCAACUAAUACCGACGGCAACCCUGAACGAUGAAACCACAAAUCUGUUGCAGCCGGAAUCGGUGGCAACAAUGGAAGCGGCGGCGACGGUGGAACAAGGGCAGUGAGCAAUGGAACGGUUAGGGCCAGAACUUCACGGCCGGCAAAAAAUUUCACAAACUAAACCUGACUCUGAUACCAUGUAGAAACAAUAGAAACACGAGAAAUAAAGAUCGUACACGGAUGUAACGUGGAAAACCCUCAACGAGAGGGAAAAACCACGGGUGAGGAGGUCUGGUGCCCACUAGCCGCCAGACUCUCUCUCUCUUAGAACUUCAUUAACACCAGAAAUUAGGGUUACACGUCUUUAAGCCCAACAAGGGCUACAAGCUGAAUCGGGUCUAGAUCCAGACCCGGUCCCAAGACCCAUCUUUACAUGCUUCAACAAGACGUUUACUGCAACAACUAACAGAAAUCCUCUAGACCUGACGUAUAUUUCAUGAAGAAAAUUUCAGAUAUAAAAUGACUGAACUAACAUCGUCAACAACAUGUGAGGGCUGCACUAGAGGACUUGUUUACCCAAUUUGGACUUGUUUGAAAGACUUCAGAUCUUCCGUGACUUAGAAAUCUUCUUCUAGCUCACCAAUUGCGAUCCAUGAUCAUUGACAACAACAACUCGGAAUAGACAAGUAUGCUCCAUGCUCCAUAACCUUCACCAGCAAUCAGAUCCCUGAUCAUCCACCAAUGGCUACUUCCUUGCAGAAAUCAGAUGUAUACCUAGAAAAAAAAUAGAAAGUAAAGAAGGAAGAGGGGAAGAAGUGAGGAAGAAGAAAAAGAAGUAGAAGACCUGGUGGUGUCAGGCCAAGGUGGGUUUGUCAGCUCUGAAAGGGAAUUGAUCUUCAUUCGCCCUAAUUCCAUAUUAAUGAGGAUUAGGGGCAGCUAAACAAAAUUACAAUAAAGGUCCACAAAAGAAAUAAAAUAACAAGGAUAACUCCUGUUUACACUCAUUUGCUGAUAAUGAAUUAUGGCAAAGACUUCAACAGAGUGAAUGUAUGCUGGGUUCAUCAAUGCAUUCAAAUGUGGCAAAUGAUAGACCUGCUCAACUUCAAUUAGAUGAUAAUCCACUAGAAUGCAUAGUAGUUGUUUAACUAGUCAUAUGUUGUCGUUGAAACUGUGUAAUAUUUAGGUUUUUUACUAGAGAAUGGAGGUUCUUAUCAUCAUUCAUCAAUAAAGCGAAACUAGGAAGGGGGAAUAGCCUUAUGAUUUCACUAGAAAAAGCUUAGUAGGAGUAGGGUUAUCUGCUGCAAGUAGUGGCAAUCUAUUGCUUACAUCCAGAAUAAAAUAUUUGUUUGGGAAUAGGAACCUGUUAACUAUAGAUUCAGCUAUUUUUACCUUUACUAGUAGCCUGUGGGUGCAAGUCUUCAGUUGAGUUCACGUGGAAAAAUCUCAAAUAUCCUGUCUCCAUGGUCACUGAUGGUACAUUUUUGCAGGUCUCACUGACAGGUACAUAUGCAAUAGAUAGUGGUGUGAUCUUAUGCUUUCUCUACUUUGAAUAAUUUUGCAAAUGUUUGAGCUUUUUGGUCACUCAUUUCAUAUUUUAUGUUGUUGCAGAAAAACAUGUUCAUAUUUAAUCAUUAUUUCAUUUAUCAGGUGCCCUUACCAUAUAAUCAACACAAUGUCAAGAUUAGUUAAAGUGCAUAAAGGAACAGAAAAAUUACCAUAUAAUCAACAGGAUGUGAAAAUUACUUAAAGUGCAUAAAAGAACACAAAAAGCAAUGCUUGGAUGUUGACUGAAGUAAAAAUGCUCAUAUUUAAUAUGCUAAGAUAAAGAUUUCGUUGCCAUAUGUAAAUUAAAUUGUGUUGUAAAUUAUAGCUGAAAUAUGUGACCCAUUUUUUUUCCUGGAUUGGUAUUUUAUUUCCAAUUUCAAGGAUCUAAAUUGAUGCUGCGAUAAAGCUUGCACUUCCUAUAGCUUUUUUUUUUUCGGUCCUUUCUGUUGACCCUUUUUCCUUUAAAAUAAAUACUUGGUGUUUACCUUGACCUUUUUAUUUCUUGGUUUUAUCUAUAGUUCUUGACAGACAUAAUAAGGACGUCAUGUGUUCGUUCAUGAUUUGUUUGUUUGAAUCCUACAUGAUUUUCCACAUGUUUGAACCCAUAUGUAAUGGUGGAUUCAAUGGAUUGUGUUCAACUUAUAUGGCAAUUAUGAAAUAUACUAGCACUUUGAGUAUGUCAGGGAGGUGCAACAGGUAUGCUUUUGUAGGCUGUGCUUAUUGUUGCUGUUGUUGUAUACUGGAUCGAUUCAUUGUCACUUCAAACUCCCAUGUUGCUCUAUAUUUCUAUUUCAAGCUAGCUUUCUGGAUAUGGGGCUAAAACUAGUUCGAUUGUUUUGACUCAAAUCACUGUAUAUGUGUGAAUCUGAGACUUUCCCAUUUUGCUAUCGUUAAGCUUCCACAGGAAAUCAAAGCUUGAGAGAUUUUGGCAAAUAGUGGCAAUGUUUAAAGCCACAUUUGAUGUGCUCUCUCUCCCCAUCUACCACAGGUGAUCAGGCAGACCUUUUGGAGUGUUGGUGUCAUUCGGUUUCAACUUAUAACAUAAAGGCCUCCUUUUCUAGGAGCAACCAGGAAUAGGAAGCGCGUGCUUUAUUGGGAUGGCUGAGUACCAGAGGUAACUAUGCUGCUCCUCUCCAGGUGUUCCGUGGGAUUGAUAUACAGAGUUUGAUACCCAAGAUGACUAAAUCUAUAGCUGAUAGGGUCCAGCGUCAAAAAGCUCGAUUUAAAAGCCAGAAGGUGCAAAAAAAAUACAAUGUCUAUGCAUUCUGUGAGUCUCUUGCUUGAAGCUAUCUUACUUAAAGCAAGAUCACUGGAACAGCUUGGUUUAAGAAAAGUCAAGUUUUCUGAAAGCAGACAGAACUUGAUCAAGAACUUUGAACAUUCUCUUUCCUUGGUUGAUUGGAACUAUUAUCCAAUUACACAGUUUAUACAGCAGUAACAGCACUAUAACACCAAGGGAAUAAUGUUGGGACUGUCAUUGACAGAUCUCACAGAACCAAGAAGAUUCCUCAACGUUGACAGGCCGUUGUUAUUAUGUCACAGACAUCACAGAAUAUGAAAAAACAGACUGUGAUACUGAAACUUGUGAUUCUCAAUGACAUGCGUGAUCUCCAUAUGCUGAUGAAGCACAGGUUGUGAUUCUUUAGCCCUUUGAAAGGCAAAAGAAUAAUGGUUUUACAGCUUUUUGGGCAAGAGGAUGAUAGUGGCUACAUGGUGGUUCUGUUGGUUUCGCUUUUCUUUUCCAUUAUUGUUUUUAAUGUUGUAGAAUCAUCCUAUUAAGUGUUUGGUGUGUGGUCACACCAUGAUGAAGACUAUUCUAGGAGGCGAAUUAUUAAAAAAUUACUUGCAAGCAGCGGGAAACUUGUAAAAGCACGUAGGCAGUAGUCAGGACAAGAAAUGCCUGUGGGGACAAAUUACUGCCAAAAAGAAAUUAAAAUGUGUUCAUUUUGUUUUAAGAAGGAUUUCAAGUUCUUUUAUCUUCA
Long non-coding RNA from Nymphaea colorata (pocket water lily), 4237 nucleotides. RefSeq lists it as uncharacterized. Lineage: Eukaryota; Viridiplantae; Streptophyta; Magnoliopsida; Nymphaeales; Nymphaeaceae. The record is from RefSeq and is a predicted model, not a curated record. The transcript has 5 exons.